CUGGGUGUAGCGCAGGCUGGUAGCGCGCCGUCCUUGGACGACGGAGGUCGCUGGUUCGAAUCCAGUCACCCAGACCA
This 77-nucleotide transfer RNA is filed under the name Azospirillum brasilense. RNAcentral's name for it is "tRNA-Pro". It matches the Rfam family "tRNA". From Rfam's summary of the family: Transfer RNA (tRNA) molecules are approximately 80 nucleotides in length. Their secondary structure includes four short double-helical elements and three loops (D, anti-codon, and T loops). Lineage: Bacteria; Pseudomonadati; Pseudomonadota; Alphaproteobacteria; Rhodospirillales; Azospirillaceae. The record is from RNAcentral.